CAGAUGCAUCUGUAGCUCAUCUCUUAGCCAGGUUUAGAACUCCCUCGCCAAAACGCCUAUAAUCUGUAGUAAUGUUGAAGCUGUUAUUGAUCUUUGAUGCACGAUUCACAGAGAAGAAAUAUUCAGUUUUGCAGAAUAUGGAUUUGGGAUUCUAAAAUCCCCAAAUCGGAGCUGUAAAGUGCAAUCUGGAACCGAGAACUGUACAUGCACGGGUAAACAAAUGUAGAAGUAUUAUGAGCUGUGGAGAAAGGAAAUGUGGAGAAAAAGAGAAGGGAGCCUGGUAAUGAUGCUCUAAGCAUGGAGUUGAACUGGGUAAUUGGUGUGGUCAUGCUGCUGCAGAUCCAGCAGCAGCAAGGAGAUGCAGAGCUGAUGGGCAGGCUGGCCUUGAUCCAAUUUUGAACAUUAGUGAUAGUUGCUCAGUGCUUUUGAUUUAAUUGAGUUUAUGAUGCUUUAUAUGAAUUGAUAGGGGUGAUUGAAGGCUGGGGGGUUGAUUUGCAUAGUUUCAUCUAUUAUAAACUUAUGGUCUCCUUUGUCCCUAUUUGAGUUUUGCUGAAUGUGUGUAUGUGUUUGUGAUUGUGAUUGUGGAAAGUGUUUGGGCUGAUAUUGUCUAUUGAAUCUUGCAUAGCAUACACAUUGAGAUGGGAGUGUUUGGAGGAUGGGACUUGUGGGUAGAUAAUGAUUGGUUGAGAAGUUGGAGGUAAAGGAAAGAAAAAAUGAGAAGAUGAAGGAAGAGUGGAGAAUGGGAAAAGAAUGAAGGAAACUAUAUCUGCAAGCAUGGGAAAAUUUAGGGAUUGUGUAGAUUGAGGAAGAACUUUAGUGAACUCAGAUUUUACUUAAAUGCAUCUAAUAAAUUCUGAUUGAUUUCCA
Ipomoea triloba (trilobed morning glory) is the source of this 867-nucleotide long non-coding RNA. RefSeq lists it as uncharacterized. The transcript is spliced from 3 exons. NCBI's taxonomy places the organism in Eukaryota, Viridiplantae, Streptophyta, Magnoliopsida, Solanales, Convolvulaceae. The record is from RefSeq and is a predicted model, not a curated record.